This 253-nucleotide ribosomal RNA is filed under the name uncultured bacterium. RNAcentral's name for it is "partial 16S ribosomal RNA". It matches the Rfam family "Bacterial small subunit ribosomal RNA", at positions 524 to 776 of the family's 1533-position model. The record is from RNAcentral.
UACGUAGGGUGCAAGCGUUGUCCGGAAUUAUUGGGCGUAAAGAGCUCGUAGGCGGUCUGUCACGUCGGCUGUGAAAUCCCGAGGCUCAACCUCGGGUCUGCAGUCGAUACGGGCAAACUAGAGUAUUGCAGGGGAGACUGGAAUUCCUGGUGUAGCGGUGAGAUGCGCAGAUAUCAGGAGGAACACCGGUGGCGAGGGCGGGUCUCUGGGCAAUAACUGACGCUGAGGAGCGAAAGCGUGGGGAGCGAACAGG